AACAUGUUUUCAAUAUUCAAAAGAUGGCGCUGAAUUUUUAUUCUAUCUCUUUUUCUUAUUAUUUGCUUGGUUUCCCUGAACUGUGUAUUGUAUAAAAUCAAGUUUACUAAUGCUACAUGAAAACGAUAGCUGUACAGGGAAUUAAAUCUUCGAAAUAGUAUUGAGGCAAAUAGGUUAACCUUUAUAACAAUUUUGUUUACUAGUAAUUCUAUAAACAAUAUUAUUAAAUAAUGGUUAAAUUAACACCAGAUUUAAUUCAACAAUCCAUGCAAUAUAUUAAUCCUGUAAAAGAUCGGGAAUUGGAUCUUAGAGGGUAUAAAAUACCUACAAUUGAAAAUUUGGGCGCAACUUUGGAUCAAUUUGACACUAUUGAUUUUUCUGAUAAUGAUAUAAGAAAAUUAGAUGGAUUUCCUUUAUUAAAAAGGAUCAAAACUCUUUUUUUUAAUAAUAAUCGUAUUGUCAGAAUUGGAGAAGGAUUAGAACAUUGUAUUCCAAAUUUGGAAACUCUUAUGUUAACUGGAAAUAUGAUUCAAGAACUUGGUGAUUUAGAACCACUCACACAAUUAAAAAAUUUAACUAAUCUAUGUUUGCUACAAAAUCCAGUUUCCGCAAAACCUCAAUAUAGACAAUAUGUUGUAUAUAGAUUUCCACAAUUGAGACUUUUAGAUUUCCGAAAAAUCAAGAUGAAAGAACGUGAAGCUGCAGUUGCAUAUUUUAGAAGUAAAAGAGGAAAAGAAAUGGUUCGUGAAAUAGCAAAGAAAGUAAAAACACAAAAUUCUGGAACAUCUAUAGACAAACCAUUAACAACUCCAGAAGAACGAAAUAAAAUUAGGGAAGCUAUUACAAAUGCUUCUUCCCUUGAAGAAGUGCAGCGUCUUAGUAAAUUACUUCAAGCAGGACAUAUGCCUAGUGAAGAUAGAUUACAAAAUGGAAAUACAAUGCCUGAAGCAAUGGAAGAAGAAGAUGAUUGAAUUAUUUUAUAUUUUUCAAUUUUAAAUACAACAAGAAAAAUUUUUUCUAUUAUUAUAAUAUCACCAGAGGUCGGUAUUGUGCGUUAUUCGCACUUUCUUGAUUCUAUGUUAUUUUUCCGACUAUAAUUUUAUAUUAAUAAAAUGGGUAAUACAUUACAAAAAGCGA
Molecule: unclassified non-coding RNA, 1137 nt
Filed under: Apis dorsata (giant honeybee)
Lineage: Eukaryota; Metazoa; Arthropoda; Insecta; Hymenoptera; Apidae
Description: probable U2 small nuclear ribonucleoprotein A', transcript variant X1
Source: RNAcentral